RNAcentral lists this ribosomal RNA (253 nucleotides) under uncultured bacterium. Its description in RNAcentral is "partial 16S ribosomal RNA". It matches the Rfam family "Bacterial small subunit ribosomal RNA", at positions 524 to 776 of the family's 1533-position model. The record is from RNAcentral.
UACAGAGGUCUCAAGCGUUGUUCGGAUUCAUUGGGCGUAAAGGGUGCGUAGGCGGCGCGGUAAGUCGGGUGUGAAAUCUUGGAGCUUAACUCCGAAACUGCAUUCGAUACUGCCGUGCUUGAGGACUGGAGAGGAGACUGGAAUUUACGGUGUAGCGGUGAAAUGCGUAGAUAACGUAAGGAAGACCAGUGGCGAAGGCGGGUCUCUGGACAGUUCCUGACGCUGAGGCACGAAGGCCAGGGGAGCAAACGGG